RNAcentral lists this long non-coding RNA (3106 nucleotides) under Amborella trichopoda. RNAcentral's name for it is "long non-coding RNA (ATRI_LNC001948)". Lineage: Eukaryota; Viridiplantae; Streptophyta; Magnoliopsida; Amborellales; Amborellaceae. The record is from RNAcentral.
AUCCUUUCGUAUUCUUUUCUUCCAGUUUUAUGCAUGUUAACAUGGCUGAUUCAUCACAAUAGUCCUUUUGUAUUCCUUUCUUAUAUUAUCCUUUUCUUGCAUUCACCUUCUUGGUGUUUAACACUGAUAGUAUUUCUUAUUCCAGGCAAAACUUUUAAAAAUUAAGAUCUUGAUAGCUGAAAAAAAGACUCUUCAGGUGCCAUUGCUAAAACUGGUUACAUACUCAAAUCUGAUGAGAGUGAACUGGUUACAUACUAUCUAGUCAUAUCAAACACUUUUCAACAAAAGUAAUACAAACAUAAACGCAUUCGAUACACACAAUAAAACUAAAAAUUGAUGUAUACGCCCUAAAGUAUCAAUAAUUUGUUGUUGAAUGACUAUCAGUUCAGGCUUGACCAUAAUAUGCUCUUGCGAUUAUUGUGACUAAUUGUUCUGGUGUAUAUCACGACGUCCAAGUUUAUAUUAUAAUUCAUCCCUUCCCAUAUAUUCAUUGUGCCAUUGGAAAAAAGUACAAUUUGUACACCGAUAGUAUAUUCUUCCAAGGUUAGAUCGGGAGCUUGAUGUACUUAAGUUGCAUUGUAAGUUGCACCGUGGAUAGGUUCACCAUUGAUAUCCUCCGACACUUGUGGAACCUGAUGACACGUUGUGUAGUUCAAUGGUCUAGACCUGCAUCCCAAUUUCAUAAAAAAGAAACAAAAGAAAUGAAUUUAUCUUGGAAAUCUAAUGUUUUUUUCAUAAGCUUUUUAUAUUCUCAUAUAGAAACAAGCAUUUAUAUACUAAAUAUCUUCCUUUAAGGAACAAGUCAAAAAAAUAUGUAUAGCAUAAUCAAAUACUAAAGUAACCGAUAGGAAAAAAAAAAACUCACACAAAGAACUUUUCUUUCAAAUAUUAACCACAAAAUCGCAUGAAACAUCGGGACCAAACUAGUCGAUCAUUGCAGGUUAAACAAAUAAGCCUAUUCAAAUCAGAUAUGCUUGGAAGCAAACAAUAACAAUUUAUACAUGAUGUGCAUAAUACAAUAACAAUUUAGAAUAAUUAAUUAGUUGUCCUUCAUGUUAUAUUAGUAAUUGAUUAGUUGUCCUUCAAAUUUCAAGUCUGACGUGGCCCAUUCAAAAAGUAAUCGACUUGGUAAAAACUAGCAUGAGUUGGAUCGACUAGGCAUGUUAAGCAGAACAAAAUGGAGAGUUGUAGUUUGAUUUCAUUGAGUUUUCCUUCAGGAAAGGACCCUAGAGUGAAGUAGUUGAAUUGUUUUUUCUUGGGCCUUUAUUUGUUUUGAUCAGAUUGGUGACAUAUGGUUUGGUUGAAGUACAGUUCUUGAUUGAUUUACAACAUCCACUUCAUGAUUGGGCUUUUCUUCCAUCUGAUUAUUGCUACUCGAAAUUUUUCACAACCAUUGCUUCAUUUUUUGAAUCCAUUGACCUGGGUGAAACAACCAUUAUUUCCCUUGUUUAUAUUCAAAAUUUGAAACCUUUGAAUACAAGAACAACUUGGGUCCUUAUCAGAGUUUUGUGCAAAUUUGGGUCCUAAAAACCAUAUAACACAUUUCACUUAUUGCAAGCAAAUUUCUUUUAGAGUGAAAAUUCAAGUACUGAAAGGUUGCACAACAUUAUGAACAAAAUCAGCAUAAAGACUUGCUUUUAAUUUUUACUAGCACAAGUAAGAAAGCUUUUUAGAACAAUCAGGUAGCAAUUAUCCAGAACAUAUGAAUUGUAGAAUGAUUGGGAUUCUCCCUGUAGAAGGACCUGGUAGGAAAAAGUAUUCAAGUCCAUCUUAUUAUUGUUUCAGUAACCAUAACUUUGUAGCCACAAUUAUUCCAGAAAUCAAAAUAAGAUCCUUUAAAAGAUUUAUAAGUUCAAGUACACAGAACAACAAAUAGUACAACUCAACUCUUUAAUUAUUCCCUCUAGAUUGGGGCUCGUAGAGGAAAAAUACUCAAGUCCAUCUGAUUAUGGUUUCAUUAACCAUACCUGAGUAGCAAUAAUAAUUCCUCAAUUCAAAAAUAGAUACUUCAACAGAUUUACAAGUUUAAUGUAAGCAGAAUAAAGAAAUAGUGUGUCUCUCUUUCAAAAGUGAAGCAAACAAGCUUACAUGGAAGUAUCAAGAAACUCAACAAACAAGCUUUCCCAUUAGAGAAACGGCUUUCAAAAACUCAAUACUAAACUUGAGUCAUACAUUACCAAAUGGGGACUCUGAUAUUUCAGCCAUAGUAACUAUAUUUUGCACUAAGAACUCUGACAUAACCAACGCCACUGACAUGGAGAUUAACUUCAAUGUAUCUAAAUGUAUCCAUGAAAAACAAAAAAUACCACAACCUGCAGUAUUAAAAACGCAGUAAACUCAGAUGGAAACUUUGACAGAGAUCAAUUAUCUCAGAAAUUCCCCAACAUUUUACAAUGGUCAAGACUCGUACCAUCAAAAACCUCCAAAGUAAGCACCAUUCAUCUAAGGACAAAACCAUGCUCAUACCAUCAAAAAACCCCAAACUAAGCAUCAUUCUUCUAAGAACAAAAUCAAGCUCACAAAAUUUUACAGACUCCAAAUUAAGCAUCAUUCAUCCAAAAAACCCAAAAAAUACAGAUCUAAUACAAUUUUAGAGACCAAGAAUGCCAUCAAAUUAAUCAGAAAAUAAAUCUGAAGAAUACCUCAAGUCCAAUAACCCAUAAAAAUAAACCCAUCACAGGGUUUUCAAAUAAAAAAAACCCAAAAAUAUAGUUCUAAUAAAAUUUUAAACUAUUCGUACCUCUGUGACAGGGAGCGGGAGAGGGCUUUCCCUUCUGUUGUCGUCUGAGAGGCGCAGAGAGAGGGAGAGGCUCAACUAGGUCAAGGAACAGUGAGAGGGAAUGGCAUGCAGAGAGAGAACAACGAGAGGAGGGAAUGGCGUAUUUCUUCUGGUUUAGAGAGAGAGAAGAGGGAAUGGCGUAUGAGUGUGGGAGAGAGGGCGCGAGGGUUGAGGUAGUAGGUAGGCAUACCACGCGAGCGAGAGAGGGUUAUAGGGCUAUUCAAGCACGAGGGAGAGAGGGUUGCAGAGCUACAGAAGGCGCAAUUUGCCCUUUUGAAUGAGGAGCGUUGGUUUUCCAGCGACCCAUCGAAACCGAUGGCGCACAGA